CGUGCCGAUGAGAACGACGAGGUGA
This 25-nucleotide non-coding RNA is filed under the name Mus musculus (house mouse). Lineage: Eukaryota; Metazoa; Chordata; Mammalia; Rodentia; Muridae. The record is from RNAcentral.